GUGGGGAAUCUUCCGCAAUGGACGAAAGUCUGACGGAGCAACGCCGCGUGAGUGAUGAAGGUCUUCGGAUUGUAAAGCUCUGUUAAUCGGGACGAAAGAGCCUAGUGUGAAUAAUGCUAGGAAGUGACGGUACCGGAAUAGAAAGCCACGGCUAACUACGUGCCAGCAGCCGCGGUAAUACGUAGGUGGCAAGCGUUGUCCGGAAUUAUUGGGCGUAAAGCGCGCGCAGGCUGAUCUGCCAGUCUGUCUUAAAAGUUCGGGGCUUAACCCCGUGAUGGGAUGGAAACUACAGAUCUAGAGUAUCGGAGAGGAAAGUGGAAUUCCUAGUGUAGCGGUGAAAUGCGUAGAUAUUAGGAAGAACACCAGUGGCGAAGGCGACUUUCUGGACGAAAACUGACGCUGAGGCGCGAAAGCCAGGGGAGCGAACGGGAUUAGAAACCCGGGUAGUCC
RNAcentral lists this ribosomal RNA (450 nucleotides) under uncultured bacterium. RNAcentral describes it as "partial 16S ribosomal RNA". It matches the Rfam family "Bacterial small subunit ribosomal RNA", at positions 354 to 796 of the family's 1533-position model. The record is from RNAcentral.